AUUGAACGCUGGCGGAAUGCUUUACACAUGCAAGUCGAACGGCAGCACGGACUUCGGUCUGGUGGCGAGUGGCGAACGGGUGAGUAAUACAUCGGAACGUGCCCAGUCGUGGGGGAUAACGUAGCGAAAGCAAAGCUAAUACCGCAUACGAUCUAAGGAUGAAAGCGGGGGAUCGCAAGAACUCGCGCGAUGGGAGCGGCCGAUGGCAGAUUAGGUAGUUGGUGGGGUAAAGGCCUACCAAGCCGACGAUCUGUAGCUGGUCUGAGAGGACGACCAGCCACACUGGGACUGAGACACGGCCCAGACUCCUACGGGAGGCAGCAGUGGGGAAUUUUGGACAAUGGGCGCAAGCCUGAUCCAGCCAUUCCGCGUGCAGGAUGAAGGCCCUCGGGUUGUAAACUGCUUUUGUACGGAACGAAAAGGCUCUGGUUAAUACCCGGGGCUCAUGACGGUACCGUAAGAAUAAGCACCGGCUAACUACGUGCCAGCCGCCGCCGUAA
Molecule: ribosomal RNA, 500 nt
Filed under: uncultured bacterium
Lineage: Bacteria
Description: partial 16S ribosomal RNA
Rfam family: Bacterial small subunit ribosomal RNA
Source: RNAcentral